UUUUAACGGUGGAUCUCUUGGCUCGGGCAUCGAUGAAAAACGCAGCCGGGUGCGAUAAGUAGGGUGAAUUGCAAAAUUCAGUGAAUCAUCGAAUCUUUGAACGCAAAUGGCGCUCUUGGGUUCUCCCAGGAGCAUGUCUGUCUGAGUGUCGGU
RNAcentral lists this ribosomal RNA (153 nucleotides) under Mesozoanthus lilkweminensis. RNAcentral's name for it is "5.8S ribosomal RNA". It matches the Rfam family "5.8S ribosomal RNA". Rfam says of the family: 5.8S ribosomal RNA (5.8S rRNA) is a component of the large subunit of the eukaryotic ribosome. The record is from RNAcentral. Lineage: Eukaryota; Metazoa; Cnidaria; Anthozoa; Zoantharia; Parazoanthidae.